This 425-nucleotide ribosomal RNA is filed under the name uncultured bacterium. RNAcentral's name for it is "bacterial SSU rRNA". It matches the Rfam family "Bacterial small subunit ribosomal RNA", at positions 355 to 776 of the family's 1533-position model. The record is from RNAcentral.
UAGGGAAUAUUGGUCAAUGGAGGCAACUCUGAACCAGCCAUGCCGCGUGGAGGAUGAAUGCCCUCUGGGUUGUAAACUCCUUUUAUCUGGGAAGAAACACCUCGACUUUGUCGGGGCCUGACGGUACCAGAGGAAUAAGCACCGGCUAACUCCGUGCCAGCAGCCGCGGUAAUACGGAGGGUGCAAGCGUUAUCCGGAUUUACUGGGUUUAAAGGGUGCGUAGGCGGGUUGAUAAGUCAGUGGUGAAAGCCCCAAGCUUAACUUGGGAAUUGCCAUUGAUACUGCCAGUCUUGAAUACGGUUGAGGUAGGCGGAAUAUAGCAUGUAGCGGUGAAAUGCUUAGAUAUGCUAUAGAACACCGAUUGCGAAGGCAGCUUACUAAGCCGUUAUUGACGCUGAGGCACGAAAGCGUGGGGAGCAAACAGG